Molecule: long non-coding RNA, 4855 nt
Filed under: Capsicum annuum
Lineage: Eukaryota; Viridiplantae; Streptophyta; Magnoliopsida; Solanales; Solanaceae
Description: long non-coding RNA (CANN_LNC022275)
Source: RNAcentral
GCCCCUCUGUUUCUCUCUGAGAUUUGGGGCUUUCCAAGAAUUCAAAAUUUGAAUUAUUGAAGUCUCUAUUGAUAGCCGUUGAGCCUCUAAAAUUGGCUCAUUUUUCGGCAGCAAGAAGCAAGAAUCACUAAAAGAAGUUAGUAAAUUAGCAAAAGCAAGUUCAUACUAGUACUUCCACUAUUUUUCGUCUGAUUUUCAAGUUCGAGGGUAAGUCUAAGCACGAGUUCGAAUUUCUGACGAGAAACUCCCUAAUUCGCUGGCCCGAAAAAGAUGCAAAUUUGACUCUCUUUAAUUUCAUUUUUCAUCUCUUUUGUUUUUCUUUUAUCUCUUUUGAUUUAUUUGUAUGUGUUUUUAUUCUAUUCUUGAAUUUUUGUUAUUGUUGUUUUUUCGUUGCUUCUGAUUUUUGUUCAUAUAGUUCAUGUAUAAAACGUACAAAUUAGCAAGUAAGUGAAUAUGUGAUGUAUUCUUGGAUUCAAGUCGUCCACGAUGGUGUUGUCUUUUGUCUCCGAAUCAAUUUCGUGGAUAUGAUUUUGUUUGAAGCCUAUAUUGAGUAAAUAUGUAUGGUUGAUUCCCGGUUUUGAUUUGUUAUCAAAAAUAUAAGUUUGUGAAAAUAUGGAAAGGUUUUCUCAUGAUUCUACUGACCAGUGAAUUUUUUUUUUCAUUUUUCUUGUUGUUUUUAUGAAUUGGAGUCAUUGACACAUUUUGGGAGGUUUUUGGUGCUUAAAUAAAAAAAAGGAUGGAGCUGUUUUAAGCUGAUUAUGUCAAUCCGUCUUUGUUUCACCUUGCUCUUUUUUCUGUCAUCUAUUUUAAUUUUUUCGAUACUUAUAGAUGCUCAUCUCAUUUAACAUGGCUGUAUGUUUUUCGCAAGUUAUGAUCAUCGUCUUGUCUCAAUUUUCUCGUUUGUUUUGACGUGUUGUUUGCGUCAUGUUUGAACAUGUGAAAUAAUGUUUUUUGGUAAACAGAUUUUCAUUUCACCAAAAUGAUCAUUACAAAGCCAGGUAAUUGCUGACCAAUCACCUCUCACUUCCUAUUGCUAUUCUCUUACAUACAUUAUACUAGAUAUCUCCAAGUACAACAACGAUAUGAAUUAAGAUUCUGGAAGUACUUGUGCCAGCCACUUAAUUACAUAAUUCCCUUUUGUAUGUAUAUGUAAUGCUAUGUCUCUACAGAUGUGAUCACUUGAAUACGGUUUCUUCUGGAAUCUGAGGUUAUUCCUGGCAGUCCAUAUGGCGUAAAUCAUCUUACUGAAAGCUGCUGCAACUAGUUCCCGGAAUCCUGCUUCAGCCUUCAAACCUAUCAUCACCCAUUGUACCUCUGAAUUCCAGCUUCCAAUAGUUCUUGUCUGUCUCAUCCACCUAAGCACUCUUCUCCGGAUGUCCUUUGUGAUAUUGCAUUCAAAGAAUAGGUGGUCAAACAAUUCAUCUGCUGCCCCAAAGAAGAUACAUGAUUUUGGAACAUGGAUGCCUAUCUUCUGCAGUCUCUCCACUCUCCACUGUUGCUAAUCUAUUCUGUAAAGCUAGCCACAAAUUAAAUUUGUGACUCGGUUGUAUGUGAGCCUGUAAGAUCAGUUUCUUCCAAGACACUCUAGGAUAAUGAGGCAUCUGGAUUAAGUACAUUUUUUUGAUGUUGAAUUUCUCUCCUUUCUGCAUUAGUAUUAACCUAUCCAAUAAGGGUCCCUGCAGUUGUUGUGACUCCAUUAUCAAUUUCCUGGUGUUCAAAAUCUUCCUUACUAACCAAGAAACAUUCUGAGGUAGGGACAUAUGGUCCAGGUCCUGUUGCUUUAUAUAGAAAGUGUGAAGCCAUUUAAUCCAUAGACAGUCUUUUUUCUUUGUUAUUGCCCAUAGAUGCUUUGCUAUUGCAGCUUUAUUCCACAGGUAUAGGUUGAUUACAUCUAGGUCCCCUGCACUCUGUGGUAAGCAUACUUUCUCCCAUGAGACUAGUGCUUUUUUAGAGAUUUUAUUCCUUCCAGUCCACAAGAAAGUUCGACAAAUAGUUUCAAUACCUUUUAAUACUUUUUUGGGGGAUCAAAAACACUUGAUGCCCAGCAUGUCUGCAUCCCAAAAAUCAUUGCCUUAAUUAGUUGAAGUCUGCCUGCAUAACUUAGCAAUCUUGCAGACCAGCAAGUGAUUUUAGAUGUUAUCUUCUCAACCAAUGGCUAGCAUUGUGCUAUGGAUAGCUUCCUAGCAGCAAGAGGUAUACCCAAGUACCUGAAUGGGAAGGUUCCAGCAGUAUAACCUGUUUCCUCAAGUAUUUCAUUCUUCAGCCUCUCCGAUAUGCCAGCCAAAUAUAGUGAACUUUUAUCAACAUUCACCUGCAGUGCAGUCCUGACACCUGGGAGAAUUUCCUGAACGUCUGAUUUAGGAGUCUAAUGGACCCUAUCUCAGCUUUGCAGAACAUUAGUAAGUCAUCACCGAAACAAACAUGUAUAGCCCCCACCUUCUUUCAUCUAGGAUGGAAGUUGAAAUUCUUGUUCCUGCUCAUCUGUUUCAGUAACCUAUUCAAGUACUCCAUAACAAGAACAAAUAGGUAAGGUGACAUUGGGUCACCUUGCCUUAUACCUCCUCUUGCCUUGGAAUGAUUUAGUGAGGCCACCAUUAAGUGUUAAGGAAUAGGAGAGUGCUGAUACAUGCCAUUAUCCAUCCUACAAAUUUACUAGGAAAUCCCAUGUCCAUCAAUAGCCUCUUUAAAAAAGACCAAUCUAGUGAAUCAUAUGCUUUCCUGAUGUUUACUUUUAGGAUACAUCUAGGGGAUAUGCCCUUCUUGUUAUAGCCUUUGAACAAUUCAUGGGCAAAUGUGAUGUUAUCUGGAAUGCACCCUUCUAUAAAGGCUGACUGUGCAUCUCCAAUCAAAUUCCCUAUCACGUUCUUCAAUCUUCUAGUAAGCACCUUAGUGAUUAUCUUAUACACAGUUGUGCAGUAGGCACUAGGUCUGUAAUCCUUUACAGGAGUAGGGGAGGGUAUUUUUGGGAUCAAAGUGAUAACAGUACAAUUGAAUCUUUUAUCCAUGUCACCACUGUUGAAAAAGUGAAAAACUGCAUUUAAAAGAUCAUUUUGUACCUCCUCCCAAUAGGUGGUGAAGAAUUCAAUGGGAAAACUAUCCACUCCAGGAGCUUUCUCCUUUGGCAUCUGCUUUAUUGCAUCCUGUAUCUCCUCAGUUGUUACCUGCUUAAUUAAACACAUCUGUUGUUCCCUGGUAAGACAAUAUCCCUCCUGAAUUACCUGGUAUCUGGACAAGGGUGUAUAUCCCCUUCUUGCCCCAUCAGAUUGGAGAAGAAUAUAAUAAACUCAGCUUCUAUGUCCUCAGGUAUUGUUAGCUUGACCCCUGUCUCACUAUGUACUGAAGUGAUGGUAUUAAUACUUGUUCUCAUUUUCCACUUGGAAGUAUUUUGUGUUUGAAUCACCACUCUGAAUCCAUGAAGCUUUGGAUUUUUUCCUCAUCACCUAUUCUUCUAUUCUACUCCAUUUCUCCAUAUCUACCAAUGCUUCCUUCUCCUGGACAUAUAAUUGCUCAUUGUCCUGGUUCAGUGCUAUUUUUGCUUGCACCACUUCUAAUGUUUUCCUGGCACUGUCUAACUGCUGUUGUAAAAUAAUGUUAAACCCUUUAUUUUUCCAUUCUCUGUUUCUACCAUGUUCAAUGUAUUUAUUUCUUCUCUGAGAUUACGUUAGUAAUGCUCCAUGUUCUCCGGAAGUUGAACAAGGAAAUGGCUUUGUUUCCAGAUGUUGUGUUUAUGGUUGUUUACGUCCGAUACAAUACAAGCAUAGAACUUGAAUUCUUGGUCAUUCUCAAGGUAUCACAGUUUCAGAUUUUUUUUAGGUGCGAACGUGAGGCUAGUGAAAUCCUUGAUAGGGUGUCUUAUCAUUUUCAUUACCUUUUCUCUUCGCCUUAAAAGCGUAUGUUAGUUCAUCGAGUGUUCUUCAUAGUUGCCUCAUCCUUGUUUUCUCCGGGUGAAUAUCUUAAAACAAAUCGGUGGGUGGGCUGCUCUCUUUUGUUGCUACUAUUUUUGUGGGAAAGAACUACCUUUAACGUGAAUAUGAAUUGGCUGUGUAGCCAUCUAGAGCAGAUAGUAAGAUUUUUAGAGAUAUAUUUGGCCUUUGAUGGACUUGGGUUCGAUUCGCUUGCAAGAUGGUAUACAGUGUAAAAGGUCAACUAGAGAAAUAGCAAUUUGUGUAGGUCUUGUUCAUCAUGUUUUGCACUACCGUCAUGGCUGUUUCUCUCAUUGUUUAAAUCAAAUUUUAUUUUAAUAUAUAUUGAUUCUAAACACAAAAUAUUUUUGGAAACUUUAGUCUUGCAGAUUAAGUGCUUUGGACGUUUUAUGAAGAGUUUAGUUCCCGUUAAGAUUGAAUCUAAGCUCUAAACUCCCUAAUAGCAUUUGCAAAUAAUGUUUGGCUUCCAUUACUAUUCUUUCACUGCAUUUGGUUUCAGUUAGUUAAAUAUAUUAGUAAAUGACAUUUUAUGAUUAGGCGUGGGUAUGCUCUGUUGAAAGAGUUUGAAUCUUUCAUGCACUUUAUAUGGAGUUUUAAUAUUGUCGAUGUGAUGGAAAUGCGUUUUGUGUAUUCCCAUUACCAGAUACAUUUACUAAUCCUUAUCCUUCUCUCUUAUUUCACAUGUACUCGGGAGCGCAUUUGGAGCCUUACGGUGUGACUACAACUCUGUCCAAAUAAGAGAAGUGACAAUAGAUUAUUACAUAUUUCAUCUAGUAGUCUAGUGCCUCUUUAUUUGCUAGGUUAUCUCUUUCUUUGUAGAUACAUGUUAUUAUUACUAUCAUUUACCAUUUCCCAUGUUACUAGUUAAAAUUUGUGUUUUAUAUGUUUGUUUUUUUAUUCUGAAUUAGUGUGAUUUCUUAAAUGUGUUAGCG